RNAcentral lists this long non-coding RNA (3751 nucleotides) under Anolis carolinensis (green anole). RNAcentral describes it as "lncRNA (ENSACAG00000039752.1)". Lineage: Eukaryota; Metazoa; Chordata; Lepidosauria; Squamata; Anolidae. The record is from RNAcentral.
AUGCAUACAUGUGCUGGAGCAGUCCACAUCAAGCUUGGCUCCUCCACCUUCUGUCGCUCGAUGGCUCCUUUGCUGACGCAGAAAACGGAGACGUCUCUCAGCGUUUCAGCCUCUCCUUCGCUUGGAGUGAGUUUCGUGUCAACGCUCCCGGUUGUCCUCACCAUCCUUCUGCUGCUUCUCUGCUUCCCUUUUAGAAGGAAAAAAAGACAAUUGUCUCCACGAGUCCUUCAGAGGGAGAGGAAUUCAUCCCAGCUUAUUCACAUAGCCAAAUUGGAAGAGGAACCGAGUCCGGAGAGAAAGCCUUUGGAAGAUGAAAACACUCACAAAGGUAAGACGUCCAUACAUUGGAAGUGCUUUGGAUGCUUACAGUUUGUCGUAUGUAAGCGAAAAGUGCGACAAAAUUGUCAUUGAACAACAGUAACCUUUCAAUCUUUCACUUUUCCCAACUUCUUUUACAAUGAAGGAAUGGAUUUAAAUUGCAGGAAAAGAGAUUCCACCUAAAUAUUAGGGAGAACUUUUUUUCCCCAAAUAAUUUUUAUUAAACACUAGCUUGGGUAUCCGGCGAUGCGCGGGUUAUUUGAAAAAGUCAUUAUUUGUCUUUGAUUGUUAGGUAUUCUCAGUUUGGAGUGGGUGAAUUACAAUUCCCAGAAUCCUGGGUCAAUCCUCCCCAAACCCUGCCAGUAUUCAAAGUUGGCCAUUGUGGGUCUGUGUACCAAGUGUAGUCCAGAUCUGUCAUUGGCUGGUCAUCGCCCGGCUGCAGUGCUCGCUGGAUGAGGGUGAACUACUACAACUCCCAGAUUCCCAGGGCAAUUGUCCCGAAACAUCUGUCAGUAUCCACAGCAGGCAAUGUUGAGUCUGUGUGCCAAGUUUGGUCCAGAUCCAUGGUUGGCUGGGUUCAAUGCUCUUUGGAUGCAGGUGAACUACAACUCUCAAAAUCAAGGCCCAUUCCCACAAACCCCUGCAGUAUGUUCAAUUGGUCAUGAGACUUCUCUGUGCAAAGUUUGGUCCCGGUCCAUUGUCGGUGGGGGUCACUGUUUCUCUGGAUGCAGGUGAACUAUAACUCCCUUUCCCCCAAACUUGUCCAAUAUGUUCUGUUGGUCAUGGGGGCUCUGUGUGCCAAGUUUGGUCCUGGUCCAUCAUCGGUGGGGUUCGGAGUGCUCAUUCAUUGUAGGUGAACUAUAAAUCCCAGCACCUACUCCUCCCAAAUGUCCUGGCCAAUUCCCCUCCAAACUCACCAGUAUUCAAAUCUGGGCAUAUUGGGUAUGUAUGGCAAGUUUGGUCCAGAGCCAUCAUUGUUUGGGUUCUGGGUGUAGGUGAACUACAACUCCUCUAUAUUCCCCAGUAGGAGUCACAGUGCUCUGAUUUGAUGCAGGAUGAACUACAACUUCCACCAUGUGGAGUCAGUCCUCCAAACUCCUCCAGAAAAUGUAGUUGCUGCUCAUUUGUGCUGUGUUUGUUCUGCAGACAGAUUUGAAAGGGAAGGGUAGUGGGCGGGGUCAUGCAAAUUUCACAGCAAUGGAGAACCCUGGGAUGCCUGCCUGUGAUGGAGGAAAAAGCAAAAUCUAGGAGGAAAGGGUCCCCAAAUGAAAGCAUUCCUUGGGUGGUGGACCAUAGUGUUUGGGGAGGACAUUGGCAGGGGUUGGGCUACAUGUUCAUGGCACUCGCUGUAACUGCAAUGUCAUUGGAAAAGAGUGACUUGGUGGCUCCUCAGCACUGGGAACUAUAGCCUGUUUGUGGAGGCCAGAGGCUGUCUGGGUGAGCAGACACCUGUGCCACAUACACACACAUGGGUUUUCACUUUUAUUAUGGAUAUAGAUAGAUAUAGAUAUAGAAGAUAUAGAUAUAGAUAUAUAGAUAUAGAUAAUAGAUAUAGAUAUAGACUAGCUUGGGUAUCCGGCAUUGCCCUGGUAAUUUGAAAAAGUCACAAAGUUUUAAUUGUACAAAAUGCAUAAGAUUGUGGGUUAACUACAACUCACAUCAUGCUAGGUUAACUCUGAGAAACUCCAUCAGUACUUAAAGUUUGCUAUGUUAGGCACCUUGUACAUGCAAUGAGUAGGCCAACCAGGGAAAUCUGCUGGACCAUUUGGGUUGAAAUUGUAGGUCCUUAUCCUUAUGUCCUUAUCCACAGGACAUACAUAUCCUGGCAACGGAGUCCGUGGAUUUGCACUAAUUGAGCUUUCACUUGGUCAUCAGAAACAGUCUUGUUCAUAUAAAGCCCAUUGACACAGCUUCCAGUUUAAAAAAAACUGUCUUCUCUUUGCUCCUGUUCCAUGGCUUCUUUGGCCGGUCUUGGAUUAGAUCAGUGGUUCUUAAUCUGGGGUCCCCAGAUGUUUUUGACCUACAACUCCCAGAAAUCCCAGCCUGUUUACCAGCUGUUAGGAUUUCUGGGAGUUGAAGACCAAAAACAUCUGGGGACCCACAGGUUGAGAACCACUGGAUUACAUGAACCAGUGGCAGACACCUCUGUUUCCACAGUUUCCACCUGCAAUCCAGAUCAAAUUCCCCCGUCUUGUCCUGUCCCAUCUAGGGCCGGCCCAAGGUAAUUUUCAAGUGUAGGCGAACAGAAUUUUGGCACCCCCCCCCCCAAACCAAUCACUGAAAAAUAAAAGUGUUGGAUAAGCAAAAAUGUUGGAUAAUAAGGAGGGAUUAAGGAGAAGCCUAAAUAAAGAACAACACUCUGAAAACAGGGGAAAUUCAGACAGGAAACGAUCAGGGCCAGCUAACAUCUCCCAACCAAGGAUGCCCCCAGGGAGGAAGCAGCCAGGCUUUUAAUCUGCAAGGCCAUUAAAUGCUAAUCAAGCUGGCCAAUUGCAACAUUCACACUAGCCUCAAACAGACAAGAGCUCUUUCUCCCACCCUGGACUUUCCACAGAUAUAUAAACCCCACUUACCUAGCUUCCAACAGACCUCAAAACCUCUGAGGAUGCCUGCCAUAGAUGUGGGUGAAACGUCAGGAGAGAAUGCUUCUGGAACAUGGCCAGACAGCCCAGAGACCUGGCCUCAAGGAAGGCGUAGCGACUGGGCUUGAUCGAUCCAUGAAAAAUUUGAUUCUAAACUCGUUUCAAAACUAGAGGGGGCAGUUUUUCGUUUUUGUUGCUAAUAACGAAUUUGGCCCCCAAAAUUUUUCGAAAUUAACGAAAAUUCGUUAUUUUCGAAAUUAAUUCGUUAAUGGCGGACGCGCAUGCGCGGUGGCCCAAAAACAGCCCGAAGGGGGGGGACUUAGGGGGCUCUCCCGCCCUCAUUUUUUGAGUGAUCUUCUUCAAACUUGGUACAGAGGUAGAACACAUUUAACACUGAUAGCUCACCAAAAUGUGGAACGUUUCCCUUAUCCUCUGAUUUUUGGCAAAUUUUCAUAGCUUUUAUAAUAAACCAUUUUUUAAUAAUUGCAGAAUUCUGUUCCUGGUUUGAAAGUCUUAUUUCCUGUUAAAUUGGGUUGUCUUUACUGUGAAAGUCAUUGUUCUACUUCAGAAACUUUGUUUUUGUGGCUGAAACUUUGUUAAAUUGGUGUGUGUGUGAUAUAUAUUGUGUAUAUAUAUAUAUAGUCCCUGCUUGUGUGUGUGUGUGUGUGUGUGUGUGUGUGUGUGUGUGUGUGUGUGUGUAGGUAAAGGUAAAGGUAUCCCUUGACGUUAAGUUCAGUCAUGUCUGACUCUGGGGGUUGGUGCUCAUCUCCAUUUCUAAGCCCAAGAGCCAGUGUUGUCCAUAGACACCUCCAAGGUCAUGUGGCCGGCAUGACUACAUGGAGUGCCAUUAC